Molecule: ribosomal RNA, 462 nt
Filed under: uncultured bacterium
Lineage: Bacteria
Description: bacterial SSU rRNA
Rfam family: Bacterial small subunit ribosomal RNA
Source: RNAcentral
AUUGAACGCUGGCGGCAUGCCUUACACAUGCAAGUCGAACGGCAGCACGGGGGGCAACCCUGGUGGCGAGUGGCGAACGGGUGAGUAACGCAUCGGAAUGUACCCAGUAGUGGGGGAUAACUAGUCGAAAGACUAGCUAAUACCGCAUACGCACUGAGGUGGAAAGCGGGGGAUCGCAAGACCUCGCGCUAUUGGAGCAGCCGAUGUCCGAUUAGGUAGUUGGUAAGGUAACGGCUUACCAAGGCGACGAUCAGUAGCCGACCUGAGAGGGUGACCGGCCACACUGGAACUGAGACACGGUCCAGACUCCUACGGGAGGCAGCAGUGGGGAAUAUUGCGCAAUGGGGGGAACCCUGACGCAGCAACGCCGCGUGGAGGAAGAAGGUCUUCGGGAUUGUAAACUCCUGUCUUCUGGGACGAAGUAUGACGGUACCAGAGGAGGAAGCCACGGCUAACUACGUG